UGGCGGAUGCCUACACAUGCAGUCGAACGGUAGCACAGAGAGCUUGCUCUCGGGUGACGAGUGGCGGACGGGUGAGUAAUGUCUGGGAAACUGCCUGAUGGAGGGGGAUAACUACUGGAAACGGUAGCUAAUACCGCAUAACGUCGCAAGACCAAAGAGGGGGACCUUCGGGCCUCUUGCCAUCAGAUGUGCCCAGAUGGGAUUAGCUAGUAGGUGGGGUAACGGCUCACCUAGGCGACGAUCCCUAGCUGGUCUGAGAGGAUGACCAGCCACACUGGAACUGAGACACGGUCCAGACUCCUACGGGAGGCAGCAGUGGGGAAUAUUGCACAAUGGGCGCAAGCCUGAUGCAGCCAUGCCGCGUGUAUGAAGAAGGCCUUCGGGUUGUAAAGUACUUUCAGCGGGGAGGAAGGUGUUGUGGUUAAUAACCGCAGCAAUUGACGUUACCCGCAGAAGAAGCACCGGCUAACUCCGUGCCAGCAGCCGCGGUAAUACGGAGGGUGCAAGCGUUAAUCGGAAUUACUGGGCGUAAAGCGCACGCAGGCGGUCUGUCAAGUCGGAUGUGAAAUCCCCGGGCUCAACCUGGGAACUGCAUUCGAAACUGGCAGGCUGGAGUCUUGUAGAGGGGGGUAGAAUUCCAGGUGUAGCGGUGAAAUGCGUAGAGAUCUGGAGGAAUACCGGUGGCGAAGGCGGCCCCCUGGACAAAGACUGACGCUCAGGUGCGAAAGCGUGGGGAGCAAACAGGAUUAGAUACCCUGGUAGUCCACGCCGUAAACGAUGUCGAUUUGGAGGUUGUGCCCUUGAGGCGUGGCUUCCGGAGCUAACGCGUUAAAUCGACCGCCUGGGGAGUACGGCCGCAAGGUUAAAACUCAAAUGAAUUGACGGGGGCCCGCACAAGCGGUGGAGCAUGUGGUUUAAUUCGAUGCAACGCGAAGAACCUUACCUGGUCUUGACAUCCACAGAACUUACCAGAGAUGCUUUGGUGCCUUCGGGAACUGUGAGACAGGUGCUGCAUGGCUGUCGUCAGCUCGUGUUGUGAAAUGUUGGGUUAAGUCCCGCAACGAGCGCAACCCUUAUCCUUUGUUGCCAGCGGUUAGGCCGGGAACUCAAAGGAGACUGCCAGUGAUAAACUGGAAGAAAGGUGGGGGAUGACGUUCAAGU
Molecule: ribosomal RNA, 1161 nt
Filed under: Enterobacter cloacae
Lineage: Bacteria; Pseudomonadati; Pseudomonadota; Gammaproteobacteria; Enterobacterales; Enterobacteriaceae
Description: bacterial SSU rRNA
Rfam family: Bacterial small subunit ribosomal RNA
Source: RNAcentral